AGAGUUUGAUCAUGGCUCAGGAUGAACGCUAGCGACAGGCUUAACACAUGCAAGUCGAGGGGCAGCACAGGUAGCAAUACCGGGUGGCGACCGGCGCACGGGUGAGUAACGCGUAUGCAACUUACCUAUCAGAGGGGGAUAACCCGGCGAAAGUCGGACUAAUACCGCAUGAAGCAGGGGCCCCGCAUGGGGAUAUUUGCUAAAGAUUCAUCGCUGAUAGAUAGGCAUGCGUUCCAUUAGGCAGUUGGCGGGGUAACGGCCCACCAAACCGACGAUGGAUAGGGGGUUCUGAGAGGAAGGUCCCCCCACAUUGGUACUGAGACACGGACCAAACUCCUACGGGAGGCAGCA
Molecule: ribosomal RNA, 351 nt
Filed under: uncultured bacterium
Lineage: Bacteria
Description: bacterial SSU rRNA
Rfam family: Bacterial small subunit ribosomal RNA
Source: RNAcentral